UCUUGUCCCUUUGUCGUCGUUCU
RNAcentral lists this microRNA (23 nucleotides) under Rhipicephalus microplus (southern cattle tick). RNAcentral describes it as "rmi-miR-5317b". The record is from miRBase by way of RNAcentral. Lineage: Eukaryota; Metazoa; Arthropoda; Arachnida; Ixodida; Ixodidae.